Molecule: ribosomal RNA, 580 nt
Filed under: uncultured rumen bacterium
Lineage: Bacteria
Description: bacterial SSU rRNA
Rfam family: Bacterial small subunit ribosomal RNA
Source: RNAcentral
UGGGGGCAUCUGCCCGCGAGCAAAGGUCCAUUCCGGUUGCGGAUGGGGAUGCGUCCGAUUAGGCAGCAGGCGGGGCAACGGCCCACCUGGCCUACGAUCGGUAGGGGUUCUGAGAGGAAGGUCCCCCACAUUGGAACUGAGACACGGUCCAAACUCCUACGGGAGGCAGCAGUGAGGAAUAUUGGUCAAUGGGCGCGAGCCUGAACCAGCCAAGUAGCGUGGGGGAUGACUGCCCUAUGGGUUGUAAACCCCUUUUGCGCGGGGAUAAACCGGCGGACGUGUCCGUCGCUGCAGGUACCGCGCGAAUAAGGACCGGCUAAUUCCGUGCCAGCAGCCGCGGUAAUACGGAAGGUCCGGGCGUUAUCCGGAUUUAUUGGGUUUAAAGGGAGCGUAGGCGGGAGAUUAAGCGUGCUGUGAAAUCCGGCGGCUCAACCGUCGCGAGCAGCGCGAACUGGUUUCCUUGAGUGCGCGGGAGGCAGGCGGAAUUCGUGGUGUAGCGGUGAAAUGCUUAGAUAUCACGAAGAACCCCGAUUGCGAAGGCAGCCUGCCGUAGCGUUACUGACGCUGAAGCUCGAAGGUG